Molecule: ribosomal RNA, 1184 nt
Filed under: Leifsonia sp.
Lineage: Bacteria; Bacillati; Actinomycetota; Actinomycetes; Micrococcales; Microbacteriaceae
Description: bacterial SSU rRNA
Rfam family: Bacterial small subunit ribosomal RNA
Source: RNAcentral
GACGGGUAGCCGGCCUGAGAGGGUGACCGGCCACACUGGGACUGAGACACGGCCCAGACUCCUACGGGAGGCAGCAGUGGGGAAUAUUGCACAAUGGGCGCAAGCCUGAUGCAGCAACGCCGCGUGAGGGAUGACGGCCUUCGGGUUGUAAACCUCUUUUAGUAGGGAAGAAGCGAAAGUGACGGUACCUGCAGAAAAAGCACCGGCUAACUACGUGCCAGCAGCCGCGGUAAUACGUAGGGUGCGAGCGUUGUCCGGAAUUAUUGGGCGUAAAGAGCUCGUAGGCGGUCUGUCGCGUCUGCUGUGAAAACCCGAGGCUCAACCUCGGGCCUGCAGUGGGUACGGGCAGACUAGAGUGCGGUAGGGGAGAAUGGAAUUCCUGGUGUAGCGGUGGAAUGCGCAGAUAUCAGGAGGAACACCGAUGGCGAAGGCAGUUCUCUGGGCCGUAACUGACGCUGAGGAGCGAAAGCGUGGGGAGCGAACAGGAUUAGAUACCCUGGUAGUCCACGCCGUAAACGUUGGGCGCUAGAUGUGGGGACCAUUCCACGGUUUCCGUGUCGCAGCUAACGCAUUAAGCGCCCCGCCUGGGGAGUACGGCCGCAAGGCUAAAACUCAAAGGAAUUGACGGGGGCCCGCACAAGCGGCGGAGCAUGCGGAUUAAUUCGAUGCAACGCGAAGAACCUUACCAAGGCUUGACAUACACGAGAACGCCCUAGAAAUAGGGAACUCUUUGGACACUCGUGAACAGGUGGUGCAUGGUUGUCGUCAGCUCGUGUCGUGAGAUGUUGGGUUAAGUCCCGCAACGAGCGCAACCCUCGUUCUAUGUUGCCAGCGCGUAAUGGCGGGAACUCAUAGGAGACUGCCGGGGUCAACUCGGAGGAAGGUGGGGAUGACGUCAAAUCAUCAUGCCCCUUAUGUCUUGGGCUUCACGCAUGCUACAAUGGCCGGUACAAAGGGCUGCAAUACCGUAAGGUGGAGCGAAUCCCAAAAAGCCGGUCUCAGUUCGGAUUGAGGUCUGCAACUCGACCUCAUGAAGUCGGAGUCGCUAGUAAUCGCAGAUCAGCAACGCUGCGGUGAAUACGUUCCCGGGCCUUGUACACACCGCCCGUCAAGUCAUGAAAGUCGGUAACACCCGAAGCCGGUGGCCCAACCCUUGUGGAGGGAGCCGUCGAAGGUGGGAUCGG